AACGAACGCUGGCGGCAGGCUUAACACAUGCAAGUCGAACGCACCUUUCGGGGUGAGUGGCAGACGGGUGAGUAACGCGUGGGAAUCUACCCUUCUCUACGGGAUAGCCCCGGGAAACUGGAAUUAAUACCGUAUACGUCCUGAGGGAGAAAGAUUUAUCGGGGAAGGAUGAGCCCGCGUUGGAUUAGCUAGUUGGUGGGGUAAAGGCCUACCAAGGCGACGAUCCAUAGCUGGUCUAAGAGGAUGAUCAGCCACAUUGGGACUGAGACACGGCCCAAACUCCUACGGGAGGCAGCAGUGGGGAAUAUUGGACAAUGGGCGCAAGCCUGAUCCAGCCAUGCCGCGUGAGUGAUGAAGGCCCUAGGGUUGUAAAGCUCUUUCAGUGGGGACGAUAAUGACGGUACCCACAGAAGAAGCCCCGGCUAACUUCGUG
RNAcentral lists this ribosomal RNA (433 nucleotides) under uncultured bacterium. RNAcentral's name for it is "partial 16S ribosomal RNA". It matches the Rfam family "Bacterial small subunit ribosomal RNA", at positions 29 to 507 of the family's 1533-position model. The record is from RNAcentral.